UACAGAGGGUGCAAGCGUUAUUCGGAAUUACUGGGCGUAAAGCGCGUGUAGGCGGGAUAAUAAGUCAGGUGUGAAAGCCCGGGGCUCAACCUCGGAAUAGCAUUUGAAACUAUUGUCCUCGGAGUCUGGGAGAGGGAAGUAGAAUUCCAGGUGUAGAGGUGAAAUUCGUAGAUAUCUGGAGGAAUACCGGAGGCGAAGGCGGCUUCCUGGUCCAGUACUGACGCUGAGAACGCGAGAGCGUGGGU
RNAcentral lists this ribosomal RNA (245 nucleotides) under uncultured bacterium. RNAcentral's name for it is "partial 16S ribosomal RNA". It matches the Rfam family "Bacterial small subunit ribosomal RNA", at positions 524 to 766 of the family's 1533-position model. The record is from RNAcentral.